CGAACUGAUUCAGACAGUGAGUUUGAAUAGCUUGUGCAAGCGGUAGUGGCCGAUAACUCCAACACUAAACCAAGACAGGAUGUGUCACUAUCCUGAACCUUAUCUGCAUUACUUCCUUUACCGUUGCUUAAUAAGGCACUCUUCCCCAAUAUUCUGUCAGCAUUCUAAAAGAAGAAACAAGCGGACACAUAACAAGUUUAGCAUGUACUAGUAUAUGAAACUCAUUUCGGUGAAC
Molecule: ribosomal RNA, 235 nt
Filed under: Triticum aestivum (bread wheat)
Lineage: Eukaryota; Viridiplantae; Streptophyta; Magnoliopsida; Poales; Poaceae
Description: partial small subunit ribosomal RNA
Source: RNAcentral